AACGAACGCUGGCGGCAUGCCUAACACAUGCAAGUCGAACGAGACCUUCGGGUCUAGUGGCGCACGGGUGCGUAACGCGUGGGAACCUGCCCUUAGGUUCGGAAUAACUCCCCGCAAGGGGUGCUAAUACCGGAUAAUGUCUUCGGACCAAAGAUUUAUCGCCUUUGGAUGGGCCCGCGUUGGAUUAGCUAGUUGGUAGGGUAAAAGCCUACCAAGGCGACGAUCCAUAGCUGGUCUGAGAGGAUGAUCAGCCACACUGGGACUGAGACACGGCCCAGACUCCUACGGGAGGCAGCAGUGGGGAAUAGUGGACAAGGGGCGAAAGCCUGAUCCAGCAAUGCCGCGUGAGUGAUGAAGGCCUUAGGGUUGUAAAGCUCUUUUACCCGGGAUGAUAAUGACAGUACCGGGAGAAUAAGCUCCGGCUAACUCCGUG
RNAcentral lists this ribosomal RNA (433 nucleotides) under uncultured bacterium. RNAcentral's name for it is "partial 16S ribosomal RNA". It matches the Rfam family "Bacterial small subunit ribosomal RNA", at positions 29 to 507 of the family's 1533-position model. The record is from RNAcentral.